AGAACUUUGUGGGAACCCAUGGGUAACGUACAUUUCGCUGGAGACGCCUUAUCAUUUGCCGCUGGUUGGAUUCAAGGCGCCUUGGAGAGUGGGCUGAAAGCCGCCUAUCAAGUCUAUGCCCGUGACAAGAAGAGAACAAUCGGAGAAGAGAAAUAAUUGAUAGAAAUCAAUAAUUUCAACCCUGCACGAUGUGUCUACUUUUGGGGUCGUCAAAUUUUGACAUCCGUGGAAUUGAAAAACUAAAUAAAUAAAUUUGGCACGAUUACGUUUUAGAAUUUGCACUUGUCUAUAAAUUUUCUACUUUGAUUCAAUUCCUGAUUAAAUAUUGUUAUUAUUUUGCUUUUGCAUUU
Molecule: non-coding RNA, 350 nt
Organism: Paramuricea clavata
Lineage: Eukaryota; Metazoa; Cnidaria; Anthozoa; Malacalcyonacea; Plexauridae
Source: the annotation of a GenBank genome assembly